UCGGGAAUUUUGGGCAAUGGGCGCAAGCCUGAUCCAGCCAUGCCGCGUGAGUGAAGAAGGCCUUCGGGUUGUAAAGCUCUUUUACCAGGGACGAUAAUGACGGUACCUGGAGAAUAAGCCCCGGCAAACUUCGUGCCAGCAGCCGCGGUAAUACGAAGGGGGCUAGCGUUGUUCGGAAUUACUGGGCGUAAAGCGCACGUAGGCGGAUUGUUAAGUCAGAGGUGAAAUCCCGGAGCUCAACUUCGGAACUGCCUUUGAUACUGGCAAUCUAGAGUCCGGAAGAGGUUAGUGGAAUUCCCAGUGUAGAGGUGAAAUUCGUAGAUAUUGGGAAGAACACCAGUGGCGAAGGCGGCUAACUGGUCCGGUACUGACGCUGAGGUGCGAAAGCGUGGGGAGCAAACAGGAUUAGAUACCCUUGUAGUCCCUGAGCGGGCUGGCAAGGCGCAU
Molecule: ribosomal RNA, 447 nt
Filed under: uncultured bacterium
Lineage: Bacteria
Description: bacterial SSU rRNA
Rfam family: Bacterial small subunit ribosomal RNA
Source: RNAcentral